GGCCUCAUCGUCUAGUGGUUAGGACGUCAGGUUUUCAUCCUGGAAAUCGGGGUUCGACUCCCCGUGGGGCUACCA
Molecule: transfer RNA, 75 nt
Filed under: bacterium
Lineage: Bacteria
Description: tRNA-Glu
Rfam family: tRNA
About the family: Transfer RNA (tRNA) molecules are approximately 80 nucleotides in length. Their secondary structure includes four short double-helical elements and three loops (D, anti-codon, and T loops).
Source: RNAcentral